UUCGAGUGCAGUUAUAAAUGA
Molecule: non-coding RNA, 21 nt
Filed under: Caenorhabditis elegans
Lineage: Eukaryota; Metazoa; Nematoda; Chromadorea; Rhabditida; Rhabditidae
Source: RNAcentral